UACGUAGGUGGCAAGCGUUGUCCGGAAUUACUGGGCGUAAAGCGCGUGUAGGCGGUUGCCCAAGUCGGGUGUGAAAGCCUUGAGCUCAACUCAAGAAAUGCACUCGGUACUGGGUGACUAGAGGACCGGAGAGGAUAGUGGAAUUCCCAGUGUAGUGGUGAAAUACGUAGAGAUUGGGAAGAACACCAGUGGCGAAGGCGGCUAUCUGGACGGUUUCUGACGCUAAGACGCGAAAGCGUGGGGAGCAAACAGG
This 253-nucleotide ribosomal RNA is filed under the name uncultured bacterium. RNAcentral's name for it is "partial 16S ribosomal RNA". It matches the Rfam family "Bacterial small subunit ribosomal RNA", at positions 524 to 776 of the family's 1533-position model. The record is from RNAcentral.